AGAGUUUCAUAUGCUGGACCACGUUUUAGCUUUUGUUGUUUUUUUUCCCAUUGUCCAAAAAGUUAGGCAACAAGUGGCCACACUUUUACGUGACUACAACCUGGAGUUCUGCAAAGAAGGAAUAAUCCAAUACUCAAGGUUGUGUUGUGUGAGGAAGCAAAGAAACACUUACAAUUUAUUGACCACUUCUUUCAAGUCAUUGGUCUGCACCUCUCGGGUCAUGAUUUCCAUCAUCUUCUUCCGGAUUUGGCGGACCUGUUGGUGCUGAGCAUAAGAGGUCUUCCGUAUCUGAUUGUUGCGUUUUUUAGUAAAACCAACACAGAACAGACGAAGCAAAUAACCAUCGGUAGUCUUGACAUCAACAUGAGCUUCAAUCAUUGUCUGGAGAAAAAAGAUACCGUCAGAUUUAACAGGUUUUACGUUAUCCAUUUAUCCCUCAAGUUCUAAUUUUAAAAAGCUGGAUUGUCAAACACUCAUUAUUAAAGUAUCCUAAUA
This 495-nucleotide small RNA is filed under the name Pongo abelii (Sumatran orangutan). RNAcentral describes it as "processed transcript". The record is from RNAcentral. Lineage: Eukaryota; Metazoa; Chordata; Mammalia; Primates; Hominidae.